CAGUAGCGCGGUAAUACGGAGGGUGCAAGCGUUAUCCGGAUUUAUUGGGUUUAAAGGGUCCGUAGGCGGAUCUGUAAGUCAGUGGUGAAAUCUCACAGCUUAACUGUGAAACUGCCAUUGAUACUGCAGGUCUUGAGUAAAUUUGAAGUGGCUGGAAUAAGUAGUGUAGCGGUGAAAUGCAUAGAUAUUACUUAGAACACCAAUUGCGAAGGCAGGUCACUAAGAUUUAACUGACGCUGAUGGACGAAAGCGUGGGGAGCGAACAGGAUUAGAUACCCGCGUAGUCCCUGUCUCUUAUACA
RNAcentral lists this ribosomal RNA (301 nucleotides) under uncultured bacterium. RNAcentral describes it as "partial 16S ribosomal RNA". It matches the Rfam family "Bacterial small subunit ribosomal RNA", at positions 509 to 808 of the family's 1533-position model. The record is from RNAcentral.